This 253-nucleotide ribosomal RNA is filed under the name uncultured bacterium. Its description in RNAcentral is "partial 16S ribosomal RNA". It matches the Rfam family "Bacterial small subunit ribosomal RNA", at positions 524 to 776 of the family's 1533-position model. The record is from RNAcentral.
UACAGAGGUCCCAAGCGUUGUUCGGAUUCAUUGGGCGUAAAGGGUGCGUAGGUGGCAGGGUAAGUUGGAUGUGAAAUCCCGGGGCUCAACCCCGGAACUGCAUUCAAUACUGCCCUGCUAGAGUACUGGAGAGGAGAUUGGAAUUCAUGGUGUAGCAGUGAAAUGCGUAGAUAUCAUGAGGAAAACCAGUGGCGAAGGCGGAUCUCUGGACAGUUACUGACACUGAGGCACGAAGGCCAGGGGAGCAAACGGG